This 515-nucleotide ribosomal RNA is filed under the name uncultured bacterium. RNAcentral describes it as "partial 16S ribosomal RNA". It matches the Rfam family "Bacterial small subunit ribosomal RNA", at positions 28 to 523 of the family's 1533-position model. The record is from RNAcentral.
GAUGAACGCUGGCGGCGUGCCUAAUACAUGCAAGUCGAGCGAAUGGAUUAAGAGCUUGCUCUUAUGAAGUUAGCGGCGGACGGGUGAGUAACACGUGGGUAACCUGCCCAUAAGACUGGGAUAACUCCGGGAAACCGGGGCUAAUACCGGAUAACAUUUUGAACCGCAUGGUUCGAAAUUGAAAGGCGGCUUCGGCUGUCACUUAUGGAUGGACCCGCGUCGCAUUAGCUAGUUGGUGAGGUAACGGCUCACCAAGGCAACGAUGCGUAGCCGGACUGAGAGGGUGAUCGGCCACACUGGGACUGAGACACGGCCCAGAGUCCGACGGGAGGCAGCAGUAGGGAAGCUUCAGCAAUGGACGAAAGGCGAAAGGAGCAACGCCGCGUGAGUGAUGAAGGCUUUCGGGUCGUAAAACUCUGUUGUUAGGGAAGAACAAGUGCUAGUUGAAUAAGCUGACACCUUGACGGUACCUAACCAGAAAGCCACGGCUAACUACGUGCCAGCCGCCGCAGUAA